Non-coding RNA from Peromyscus maniculatus bairdii (prairie deer mouse), 379 nucleotides. The record is from RefSeq and is a predicted model, not a curated record. NCBI's taxonomy places the organism in Eukaryota, Metazoa, Chordata, Mammalia, Rodentia, Cricetidae.
AGAAAAACCAUAUAGCUGUAGUUCACAGCAGCAGCCCUACCUCAGAUCCUAUUCCUUAAGGCCACCUGAAUAUCCAAGUCCCAGGGCAUUUUGCUAUGGAAAAUGAGGCCAGGCUAACAUUCAGAGCAGCUGGGAAGUUGAGGCUGGGGGAGAAGCAGAGAGAGGUCAGCAUUGUUCGGAGUGUCAGAAUGAGGCAUCGCUGGAUGGAGACUUGGAUCAGGACAUCAUGUGCAAGGAAAAAAAAAGAAAGGCUUAACUACUUACUGCAAGCUAUUACUAUGGUGAGGUGCCUUGGGGCGGCAAAGAAGUACUGGAUAGACUCCGGCCCUCAGCAAUAAAAAUGGAAGCCUAGCAGCUGCCGCUGACAGAGCGCUCUCCA